Molecule: ribosomal RNA, 477 nt
Filed under: uncultured bacterium
Lineage: Bacteria
Description: bacterial SSU rRNA
Rfam family: Bacterial small subunit ribosomal RNA
Source: RNAcentral
UUCGCAAUGCCCGAAAGGGUGACGAAGCGACGCCGCGUGUGGGAAGAAGGCCUUCGGGUCGUAAACCACUGUCGGGAGUUAAGAAAUGCAAGGAUAUGAAUAGUGUCUUUGCUUGACUAAGGCUCCGGAGGAAGCCACGGCUAACUCUGUGCCAGCAGCCGCGGUAAUACAGAGGCGGCAAGCGUUGUUCGGAAUUAUUGGGCGUAAAGAGCACGUAGGCGGCUAUGUAAGUCGGUUGUGAAAGCCUUCCGCUCAACGGGAGAACAGCAUCCGAUACUACAUGGCUUGAGUGCGGGAGGGGAGAGUGGAACUUCUGGUGGAGCGGUGAAAUGCGUAGAUAUCAGAAGGAACGCCGGCGGCGAAAGCGGCUCUCUGGCCCAUAACUGACGCUGAGUGUGCGAAAGCUAGGGGAGCAAACGGGAUUAGAUACCCCGGUAGUCCUAGCCGUAAACGAUGGGCACUAAGUAGAGGGGUUUU